Molecule: microRNA precursor, 97 nt
Filed under: Marmota monax (woodchuck)
Lineage: Eukaryota; Metazoa; Chordata; Mammalia; Rodentia; Sciuridae
Source: RNAcentral
AAUGCUAUUGCUGGAUCAUAUGUUUUGUUUUACUUUAUAAGAAACAUUUAAACUGUCUUCUAAAGUGGUUGUAUUAUUUUGCUUUCCCAUCAGUAAA